Manis javanica (Malayan pangolin) is the source of this 7850-nucleotide long non-coding RNA. RefSeq lists it as uncharacterized. Lineage: Eukaryota; Metazoa; Chordata; Mammalia; Pholidota; Manidae. The record is from RefSeq and is a predicted model, not a curated record.
CAGUCACUCUCCAUCAGCAUAGUAAGAUGCUGUAGAGUCACUACCUGUCUCCUGUGAACCAGCACUGAUUUUUUAUUAAAUAAUAUUUUUCAAAAUUGAUUCAUUUUUGUAAAUUCAAAGUCACCAGGACUAGAUGCUAAGGUCUUUCUAUACCCAUGCCCCCUCCCUUCCCUGACACAUACACACACAGAAGCCCCUUUUAGGUAAAGAUACCCAUUACAGCAAUGGGCCAGGGGUAACAGGUGGUGAGUUUUGAGUUUAUUAUCUCUGUUUUUAAUAUAAUUUAUUUAGUUUUAAGGGUAUAUAAUUUAAUCGUUAAUGAUAUUUGUGUUUAACAACCUGUAUGCAAAAUUCCUACAAAUGUAGCCAUUGGUUUUUACAAGCCAGUAGAGCUGCUCCGGCACAUCACCGCCAAGAGUUGGAGGAGCGGGAAUUCACACGUGCCCUGUGACUCCUGGUUGAUCGCUCUGCUGCCACUUCCACCUUCUUUGCUGUGGGCGUAUUUGGUUCAUUUCUCUGCUUUGCCUAUGGAGGCAGCUCAUCUCCACUCAUUUUUCCAGCUCCCUGUUGCAGAUCCUCUCCUCUCCUGGUUCUCAGACUUACCUGCUGGCCCAUGUCACCAGCUCUGUGAUCCUCUCACUAUGAAGUCUUGUCUACAAGAACACCCAGGCUGAAUAGAGAAAAGCCAAAGAAACCAAGUCAUUAGGGCUCUGACUUGAAGCAGAAUCUUCAGGAGCUGAUUCAAGGUCGCAGGACCCGACCCUAGGAAAGCACAUGCCGUCAUAGAGGAGGACCCGUCCUCUCCCUUCCCCUCCGUUCUCAUCUGAUAAGAGAGCGAGCAGCAGUAAGACUCCUCAUCUAUCUUAUGAAAAUCCGAUUCGGAAUGGCUGUGAUCAAAACCAGCUGGCUGUCACCAGCAGUGGCCUUGUGAGGAGGGAACUGCUCAGAAGCAUCCCGUAUGUGGGGGUGUCACGGGUGGUACCGAUCAAAGUAGCAUUUUUUUAAUAAAUAUAUAUAAGGAAAAUACAAAACCUAAGGAUUUAGAAUAAAAGCAGUGUAGUUUGUCUUGUUUUUUUUUUCAGUAUAACACAAAGAGGAUGAAAUAGAAUCAGAUGCGCCUGAUUGCUAACACACGCAUACUGGCGCCUCUGAGAAGGUGCUCGCUGUCACAUUAACACUGCAUCACUCAUCUUGGGCCUUAUUGAAGAGAGUAGAGAGUUCCUCAGUUUCUGUUCCUUCCGGCUACUGCAUUCCUCUUCACUUUUAAAGUCCUUUACCCCUCUUUGUCCCUAACACAUCUCCGUAGAUCAAAGCCGGACCCACCGUGAAGCUCGGAGAGAGCAAGUGGAGUGGCAGAGAACCUUCCUACUCAUUGUUCUUCAUUUCCUUCAGUUGUCAGUAGCCAGUGUUUUGAUGUUCCCUAGAGGGCACCUCAGUGGGUGACGUCCUUCCAGUGUCAGGCUCCUGGGCUGAAUGGGAUCUUUAUAGAGAAUUCUUGUUGGGCCAAGCUUGUCUUGAGACUACCACCUUUGAGUUCCUCGAAAGGCCUGGUCCUGGUUGACCACCCUUUGCAUUGCUGAUACUGAUUCCCGUACAGCACUCCGGGGACUUGGGUGGGGUGGUAGGAAAGAGCUCCUUCUGAAGUGUUGCAUUCAUGGCUCCUUCAGCAAUGUCCUAACAUGCCCCUGUGGUUGUAAUAUAAUGGGGUCACAUGCCAUAAUAUACCACAAGCUAGGUUGCCCCUCUUAUUCUGUGCUCAUGAUCCAGCCAGCACCACACUGUGCUAAGGCCUGAUUAUCUCAGAAACUGAAGUCAGUCCAAACCUUCCUCUCCAAACCAUCAUCAACCAGGAGGGUCAUCACAAGUUGGGGGACUGUGAGGACAGUCAACUAUUUUGGUCCCUCCUUAAGGUCUGUGAUCUCUCCCCAGCAGCAUUAGGAGAGAUUCUGUUUGGCAGGAGCAUGGAGGCAUUUCAAUACAGAGGCAUAUGGGACACAGAUGAACCCCCCACCCCACCACAUGCUUCCUCGGGGACCUGCUCACACACAGCUCUGGGGUGCACACUUGCUGUGCGGCACGUUGGGCCAAAUGCCUUGCUUGUGGUCUGUCCUGUUUCUCAGUCUUUGCAGUGUGGGUCUCGAGCCAACAUCGCCGUUUUCAGACUCUUCUCCCAUGUCUGUUUCCUCCCUUGUCAGUAAUGAGUAUAGGUGGGACCCGACUUCAAUCAGGUGAAAUCACAAGGCCUGAGUCUUCGAAGGCGGGCCUGCCAGGGACCUGCCAAAGUGUUUUUGCACCUUGAACCCUGACUCCAGGAAUGCAGGAGACCCACAGUGCUGGGCCCAGGCUUGCUGGGGAGCUCCUCUGAGACCGCUCUCUCUCCUGUUCAUUCGGGUGUUUGAAGCCUGUUGCCUCCUGCUUUCCCUUUUUCUUCUCCCUUUUAAAGAAUUCUCAAUUUUUUUCACUUAGAAAAAAAAUUAUUUAUACGAUUGAGAUCCACUAAUUAAAGCCGUUUUCUGGUAUUUGGUUACUGGAGCGUUUGAUGUCUCUCUGACAAGACCAUGAAAUGCAUGGAGUGUCCACAGGGACAGAAUUUGCUGAGCAUGGCUCUUUGUAAAUGAGGGGACACAGUGUCGCAGCAGCUCAUGAAUAUGAAACGCCCGUGAUGCCACCUCAGUGGACUUGGGAACACAGAUGAAUCCUGUCAUGUGCUAAAUGAGACCAAUUUCUUUCACUUAACUUCAUCUUCAAUCAGACCUUCUUCCAUUUGCCUGUUUAAAAUUCCCCAUACAUGAUGCCGAAGGUAACAGCAUUCAGUAAAACAAAGUUUUCCAGCUGCAGAGAGAAAUUACAAUGAUCUGAUUUAAAGUCGCCAUCUCCUAAAAACAUGGAUGUUAUUUCCUUUCUCUCACAAGCUCUGCUGAGGUCUGUUGGCUUUGGGCAUGAAAAUAGGUGCCCAGUAAAAGCAGUCUGGACUGCUUUUACUGGGGUCCCCUUAAGCAGUAGGUCCAGAUCCCUUUGAUGUGGAUUGGUUAAUGAUCGUGGCUAUGAAUGGCAGAUGUGAGACCUUAAGGGCCUGUGGAUGCUCUGCGGUGGCCAGACCCUGAGUGGGAAAGCAUCUGGGCAGAGAGUGUGUGUAACCAAGCAGGGCCUUUGCCAUCAGGAGCUCAGUUAGUGGAUGAAGUGAGAGGGACAGAUGUCGUCAGUAAGCCCCAGAGGAACCUGGCAAGUCAGGCCAACCACUUGUAUCAUUUCCUAACGUGAGAAAGUGCUGGAGUAAAGAAAAGGCUCUAUGUAGCUCUCUGGAAACCCUGGAUACAACCAGAAAAUUCCACUCAGAAAUCCCCAACCAAGGAAAUUAGCAAAGAGUAGAACCUAAAGGGGCACAGAGAGGAAGGCCUCCCCAUGGGGCCAGGGGCUAGAUCGGAGUGCCUGUUUCAUUCUCUCCUUCCUAUAGGAUGUAGAUUUACGCUCCAGGAGAAGAGACUGUGUGGUGCUCCGAGUGUACUCAUUUCAAACAGCCCAGUCUGAGAAAUCCCCUUCUGUUUUAGUUAUGCCCAAACUGGCAAACAACAGCUAGAUUUGAAUGCCGGCUGCUGAACAGCAGUGUGACCCAGCCUCAGGAUGGAAGCCCAGUGGUCCAUGGGGCCAAAUUUGAAUGACUUUUCCUCUGUGACUCUGUCCCCACUCAUCCACUGUUCCUCAUAUAUGCACAGGCCCUUUCCAGCAGGCCCUGCAGCUCUCAAGUGAGGCAAAGCCUUUACUCUGAUGUUAUUAAAUCCAGGAAGCAUCUGAGGACUACGCUUGGUGGUUCUUGUGGAAUGAAUCCUACUAAGGCCCCUGUAGGACUCAGUAGUGCUGAUCCCGUAAUUGGAACGAUACAGAGAAGGUUGGCAUGGCUCUGCCACGUGUGUUACCUUCCAGGCUGAGGGGCAUCUGUUGAUCGGGUUCUGUUCGGUGUUCCUUCAGUUUGCCAGUCCUUGGGAAUGCAGAAGCCCUGGCUUGUGCUCUUCGCUCUCGGUUAGUUCAGCGUCCAGGGGGCAGACUCUCCCCACUGAAGGCGGUGAGCUUACCCUGUGGCCUUGCAGAAAAUAUUAUGGAAAGGUGAAGAAGAGUGUUCUGAAUUCUGCCCGUUGGAUUCUGAGCUGCCUCACAAAGGAAGGGAUGUGCAUUUUCCUUACUUUGCUCAUUUAUGAUUAUUUUUUAAUAUAUAAACUCUCCCUUUGCAAUCCGCCACCCUAUCCGUCUUGGUUUUCCUCUAAUGUGCCUCAGAAGGGGUCUUGUGAAUAGAAGACACUCAGCCGCUGACUUCCAGUGGGUUGAUUCAGGUCCUUCCUCACCUGGUACCAGGUACCCUCUUCCCCACCUAACCCCUUGCUCCUGGGCCCUCCGUGCCAACCAUACUGGUGCUCCAUGAAGACAAGGACCAUGCGUUUUAUUUGUUGCUGUUACUGGCCCCAGUUGGUACAGUACUUUACCCAUCAUAGGUGCUCAAUCAUUAUUCCUUGAAUGAAUGAAUAAAUGAAGGAAGGAAUGAACAAACAAAGGAACAAACAUAGGUUCCCCACCAUGUGGCAGCAGAACGACACUCAGCGGACAAGCAGGUUGAGCAGCACAUGAGGUGGCUCACAAGAGAGGCACGGAGCAAGUGCAAAGAGCCAGGAAAACCUUUUGAAGGAGCUGGAGCUGGGAGAGAGCAGUGGAUGUCUGCGUGGGGAUGGUGGUCUUCAUCCGGAAAAUGGGCAGGAGUAAAUGAGAAAAAGAAGGUAGAGCCACAUAGCUUCUCCCCAUGGUCAGUAUUAUAUCUGUGUAAUGAAUAAAAAUAGUCAUAGGCCAUUAUGUAGUGAACAUAGUGCUUAAUAUUUUAUAAAGACUAUUGCAUUUAAUGCUUGCAACAACUGUAUAUGAGGUGGUUAUAAUUAUCCCCAUUUUACACAUGAAGAAAUUGAGGCACAGAGAGAAUAGUCACACAACUGGUACAUGGGGGAACCAGGAUUUGAAGCCAGUCAUUCUGCUUCCCAAUCUUGUGUUCUUAAGCCCUGGGCAGGAGUCCUACCCACGUUCUUAACUAACUCAUUGUUUCUGUUAACAUUCUUCUUAGCGGCAUGGAAGAAAAUGAGAAUAAAGUUCACGUAGCUAUUGAGUUUUUUUUAAAAUAGUGGUAGCUUUUCAGCAGUACUAGAGUGACCUUUGCUCCCCUUAUUUUCUCUGUUAAGAUUGUAUACUUUUGAAUGUCAAACUUGACACCCUGAGUCAGGCUGGGCCCCUGUCCAGACUUGCAGGGCAAGUAGUUGUCACUGGUUUGAGGCACGGCCAGAUCAUCCCGUGGAGGUAAUUUUGUGAAGAAGUAGAUUUUUCCAAGUCCAUUUUCUUUUUCUAGGUUUGUUUGUGGUGUGUAUGGUGUGUAUGGUGUGUGUGUGUGUGUGAGGGUGAGAGAGGGAGGGAAGGAGAGAAAAGAGAACAAAAAUUCCCAAGAACACAUUAUAUAUACAUAGGCAAGCACUUGUCUGUGUUUGUAAAUCACAAACUGUAAAAUUGUGAAGUUCUUUGAAGUUUGCCCCAAACCUGCUCCAUGGCCACCUGUUCCACUGAGGGCUGGAGUUGGAUGGCCUGACUGUGCUGUGAUGGCUCAAGCUGUCACUACACCGGAAUGUUCCAGCCUGCCUGGGCCUGGCUGUCAUCUCUGGCUCUGUCCCACUCAGGCAGUUCACGGGUUCUGUUGGGCACAGGGCUUCCAAUUAGAGAGAAAUCCCACUGUGUGGCCAGCCCCACCAGUGCCGCGCUGAGAGGCGCCUUUGCCAAGGCCCGAACUGACCUCUGAUCUGUCACAGAUGGGCCAGCCCCACACUCCCCUGUGCGCAUUUGGAGGAGGGGGUGUGGAUGAAGAGGGAAGCCUGUGGGGAGGGAGAGUAGACAUUGGGCAGAAGUGCAGUUCCUCAGAGCCUGGGAGAGGCAGGGCAGAAUUGACAGGACCCAAAUGCUAAUGUUGUGGAGGGAAAGGGGACUUGGGGAAGACCCCAUCCUGAGCCCUGAACUCAGCAUGGGGCAUUGUCUUACCAACUUCUGAAUAUUCAUCUCAGGCUGGACUCCACGCCCGCCUGAGGAGAGCCAGGAGCAGCUAACUGUCACAGUGCUGAUGGCACAUGGCACAGCCAGCUUCCUGCCUGCCCUGCACAGGCUCCUUGCAGCCUCAUCAGCCUGGGAGGCCUGCUUGCCCUGGGCUCCGGUGCUGUUGCAGCCCUCACUAUGAAUUGUGUUAGUCACAUAGAGCAAGAGUGAACAAGAAAGCUGAAUCUCUAUUAUCCUGAGAAAUAGAAUCUUGGAGAACUCCAGCUCUAAUUAUCCAGCAGGACAGGGAGUAUAAUCUCAGCUCUGAACGGCCUCUUUCUAGAUGACUUGCUGAUGUGGUUUGUAGGGUGGCUUGUGUGUCCUUUAUUUCACUUCUCAGCCAUUUCUUUAAUUUUUAACCCUUUUCAUUCUUUUAAUCACUCCUCCUCUGCCUGUCUCCUUCUCUCUCUGUCCUCUUUCGGGAUCUCUGUCUCUCCCUUGAGUACUUUCUCUCUUCCCAGGUACAGCAUCUGUAACCCAACAGUUUGAAGCAAUAAUAAAGGCACUAGGCUUGGAAGGGACAUUUAUAUACUCGGGCUUAGCUUGACUAGAGCAGGCACCAAGUCCAAGUUACGAAUAGCCUGAAGUGGCAAGGGUCUUCCCAGCUGUUCUGAAAUGACUCUGGGUUUCUUUUAAAAAUAAAACUGAAUUCAGUCCAUGGAAGCAAAUACAAAGGAUGUCUUCACUCCUCUCUGGGAUUUUCCCUUCUCCGUGUGUUUACAGUGGUUUUGGAAUCCCAGGACUGCCUCCCACUCGGCCUGCCCCACCCCUUUUUUGACUCUGACAGAUUAAAUGAACAAAACUCCUCAGCCUGUCAGUGAUGCUCAUUUGGAAAAGGAAAUACUUCUUUAGGUUGUUAGAUUGUCCCAGUGAGGAGAUGGACUGUUUUUGGUAUCUUAAACUAGUUGCCACAAUUAAAAUUGCUGUCUCUUAGUUUCUCCAUUUGCAUGACUUUCUUAGACUGGUGAAAGCAAUUGCCUCAUGUCUCUUUAUAUGUCCGAAUGUGUGUCUCACAUGGAGAGUUCACACAAGGAAAAUCUCCAUGAGAUAGCAAAAAAUGUGUCAUUUCAGAUUGGGUAUCUUCUUUUAUACUGAACCUGGCCGUGGGGACUCCGAGCCAAGGGACACUGAUAUGAGCCAGGUCAUAUCAGUAGGUAUAAACUGUCCUUAAGAUGCAGGCUCAGGGCCAUGAGACAGAUGGCUGCAAAGACUAGGAGGAGCUAAUGUUCAUGUGGACCAUGGACGUGAAGAGGUACAUGCGUGGCAACACCCACCUCGUGACACUGCUUUCUCAGCUCCUUCUGUCUCUUACCAUGCCAGGCUCACGCAUCAGUUCCUCUGACACUUCCCCAGGUGCUAUCUGGGACUCUUCUCAUUUCCUUACAUUUCUCCUUAGAUAUCCACUCCAAUGGCUCCUAACCUGGAGCAUACUUUGGGAUCACCCAAGGAAUCUUAGGGAAAAGUACAGAUGCCUGAGCCCCACCCAGGAGGUUCUAAUCCAGCAGGUGCCUGGGGUAAAGACUGGGAUUCAGAAAUUGUUGAAGUUCUAUGUUUGUUUCUAAUGUGCACCUGUAGUUCACCCCACAGCCUAGACUGUCAGCCCACGGAUGCCAGAGACUGUGUUGGAGAGUCCAUCCUAGCCCCAGCCUGCAGCCCCACGGCAGGCCUGUUGAAGGUGAUGAGCAGUAAUGGAAAUGCAGGCAAGAUCCCCAUUCAUUCUGUGACCGCUUUGCUGCCUCCUCUCA